Molecule: long non-coding RNA, 284 nt
Filed under: Pelobates cultripes (western spadefoot toad)
Lineage: Eukaryota; Metazoa; Chordata; Amphibia; Anura; Pelobatidae
Source: RNAcentral
GUCCGUGUGCCCAUUGUACGACUGCUGGGUACAAAUUCUUAGGGAGGCAGAAAUUGAGGUUGUUGGAGUACACUCCAUCCUUCAGAACUGCCCCUUUCUGUUUCCACUUCUGUAUUUCUUCAGGGGCAACUGUUGGCAGGAUUUUCAGGUCAGUUGGAAGAGUCUGCAGAGUAAAUAUGGGAGUUUCUUCAUUUCCGGACACUCUUCUUUCCACUUCCUGUGGUUCUCUUGCAGCUUGUUUUGCAGCCUGAUCAGCUAGAUGGUUGCCCUUUGCUUCAUCUGAG